RNAcentral lists this ribosomal RNA (694 nucleotides) under uncultured archaeon. RNAcentral describes it as "bacterial SSU rRNA". It matches the Rfam family "Archaeal small subunit ribosomal RNA", at positions 325 to 1020 of the family's 1478-position model. The record is from RNAcentral.
ACGGGGUGCAGCAGGCGCGAAAACUCCGCAAUGUUCGAAAGAACGACGGGGGAACUCCAAGUGCACUUGCGCAAGCAAGUGGUUUUUAGUAGUGUAAAUAGCUGUUAGAAUAAGAGCUGGGUAAGACCGGUGCCAGCCGCCGCGGUAACACCGGCAGCUCGAGUGGUGACCGCUUUUAUUGGGCCUAAAGCGUUCGUAGCCGGUUCAGUAAGUCUUUGGGCAAAUCUUCUCGCUUAACGAAAAGAAUUCCGAAGAUACUGCUGGACUUGGGGCCGAGAGAGGUUGGAGGUACUCCUGGGGUAGGGGUGAAAUCCUAUAAUCCUGGGGGGACCGCCAGUGGCGAAGGCGUCCAACCAGAGCGGACCCGACGGUGAGGGACGAAAGCCAGGGGCGCGAACGGGAUUAGAUACCCCGGUAGUCCUGGCCGUAAACGCUGCAUGCUAGGUGUUGCAUGCUCUACGGGGGCAUGCAGUGCCGAAGAGAAGUUGAUAAGCGUGCCGCCUGGGAAGUAUUAUCGCAAGGUAGAAACUUAAAGGAAUUGGCGGGGGAGCACCACAAGGGGUGGAGUCUGCGGUUCAAUUGGAUUCAACGCCGGAAAUCUCACCGGAGGCGACGGCAGGAUGAUGGCCAGGUUGAAGAUCUUGCUUGACAAGCCGAGAGGAGGUGCAUGGCCGUCGUCAGCUCGUACCGUGAG